UGUUUUAGGCCUACAGCAUUAAAAUUGGACUCAUGUACUAGGAAUAUCAUUUCUUUAGCAGAAUUAUCCCACUGAAUUAAAAGGAACUCUUUUUUCAGGUGCGCAUGAUGCAACUUCCUGGAUGGUGUGUAGGCUGUUUGUCAACAUGUGAAUCCCACGUGCAUUUCGGGGUAGGAGUUGUCUCCCCUUGAAAAGAUCAAUAAUGGCAGAUAAACGAUGCGGCAUGCAGUCUGGUCACCAACGGACAGUUUUGACACCCGUAUACCCGGAUUUCUACCAAUUACCUCUGUAACCUUUGUUGUGUUCAUCACACAGUAAUUUUGUCUAUUUUGUUGUUGUUUUAGAUGAUGGACCACUCUACUUCCUUUGACAACAGGUGCCCCUACAGAUUCACAAAGUUCCAGUGUUGAGUUUCCAUGACCCCUAUUUAUCCACGACAGGAAAAGGAAUAGAGUUGACAGGACUUCCCGCACUGUCCCUGGUAGCAGUUUAUGAGGGAACCAACCGCAGUAGACAUAGCACGCUUCAUCAAAGAUGCACCAGACGCAGCGGCACUGUCUCCAUCACUGGUGAAAUGGGAUAUGACUAGUGGCUGGUCAUCACUUUGUAACUCACCAACACAAUUAGCAGCCCAUCUCUUCUCGUCUCCAAUGGUGGUCUCCGGAGGAAUGGUUGCAGUGCAGUCUUCAUGUCCUGGGCAGGUCUGUUGCAUGUUGGUGGCUGACGCUGGUUCAAUAUUUGCACCAAGAAGCAUACCACGCAUACCCUCUGUUGUAAGACUGGUACCCAGGUGACCGACAGCCAUGGCCACAUUCAGCUGUGCAGCUCUUCCUCCCCUGCCAGAUCUUCUCACCUCUUCGUAAAGCUUUUCUCGGUGACUGGUAUAGUGGCACUUCUUACAUCAAAUGGAAAGGAUCCAUGCCAGGCCUCGUUUUUCCUCCCCAUGCUGAUUCCAGUCCGGUUGACCAUCACAGUCUGGAAACUUCUAGCUGCCUGGUCUUCUAAGAGAAACUCCAUUCUUUGAUGACUGAUGGAAAAGCCUCAUCACCCCCCACUGCUUAAGAACCCCUUAUCUUAAUCACCAGCCAUUAAUCAGUGAUCACUGUUAUCAAAGCUCCAAGGUACAUUAUUGAAGUCUAUUUUGACACCAUUUUUUCCAGUCUCUGACUUUGUUUUAAAAUUAAGAUUUUCACUUUUUUGCUAAUUAAUUCCUUAAAAAUCAGUGAACUUCCUGUUUCUUAGCUAAUUAGAGCUCAUUAAUUAGAGUUGAAAUUAUUUUUUAGCAGAUAGCCAAAAACUACAAUAUUUCAGCUUU
This is a long non-coding RNA of Saccostrea cuccullata (small rock oyster), 1315 nucleotides long. RefSeq lists it as uncharacterized. The transcript is spliced from 7 exons. The record is from RefSeq and is a predicted model, not a curated record. Lineage: Eukaryota; Metazoa; Mollusca; Bivalvia; Ostreida; Ostreidae.